RNAcentral lists this ribosomal RNA (495 nucleotides) under uncultured bacterium. RNAcentral's name for it is "partial 16S ribosomal RNA". It matches the Rfam family "Bacterial small subunit ribosomal RNA", at positions 28 to 507 of the family's 1533-position model. The record is from RNAcentral.
GACGAACGCUGGCGGCGUGCCUAAUACAUGCAAGUAGAACGCUGAAGGAGGAGCUUGCUUCUCUGGAUGAGUUGCGAACGGGUGAGUAACGCGUAGGUAACCUGCCUGGUAGCGGGGGAUAACUAUUGGAAACGAUAGCUAAUACCGCAUAAGAGUAGAUGUUGCAUGACAUUUGCUUAAAAGGUGCAAUUGCAUCACUACCAGAUGGACCUGCGUUGUAUUAGCUAGUUGGUGGGGUAACGGCUCACCAAGGCGACGAUACAUAGCCGACCUGAGAGGGGGAUCGGCCACACUGGGACUGAGACACGGCCCAGACUCCUACGGGAGGCAGCAGUAGGGAAUCUUCGGCAAUGGACGGAAGUCUGACCGAGCAACGCCGCGUGAGUGAAGAAGGUUUUGGGAUCGUAAAGCUCUGUUGUAAGAGAAGAACGAGUGUGAGAGUGGAAAGUUCACACUGUGACGGUAUCUUACCAGAAAGGGACGGCUAACUACGUG